Molecule: unclassified non-coding RNA, 475 nt
Filed under: Hevea brasiliensis (rubber tree)
Lineage: Eukaryota; Viridiplantae; Streptophyta; Magnoliopsida; Malpighiales; Euphorbiaceae
Source: RNAcentral
UCUUGCCUUGCGGUCACACAAUGCAUCUGGAAUGUGUCAUGCAGAUGGAACAACAUUUCCAGUAUUCUUGUCCUGUUUGCUCAAAAUCAUACUGUGACAUGUCUCGAGUCUGGGAGCAACUGGACCAGGAGGUUGCAUCAACAGCUAUGCCUGAAAUGUAUCAGGACAAGAAGGUUUGGAUUCUUUGCAACGACUGUGCGGAAACAUCUGAGGUUAACUUCCAUAUAGUAGCACAUAAAUGUCCAAGUUGCAAAUCCUAUAAUACAAGGCAGACAAGAGGAGGGUCCAGUUCAUGCUCUAAUAUUACCGAAAUGGUUAGAUGAGGUUCUUCAUCGCGACAUUGACAAGCUUUUCAACGAUGAAAUCAAUGCCCACGAGUCACGACUGCAACAAUUGGUAUGAUUUAUAACUUCAUUAUUUUUCACGAGUUUACUAGGGUAAGCAUUGUCAUUACUUGCAACAAGGAGAGUUGUCG